RNAcentral lists this ribosomal RNA (716 nucleotides) under uncultured bacterium. RNAcentral describes it as "bacterial SSU rRNA". It matches the Rfam family "Bacterial small subunit ribosomal RNA", at positions 77 to 779 of the family's 1533-position model. The record is from RNAcentral.
UCUUCGGGGAUGAUUAAACCGGCGCACGGGUGAGUAACACGUGAGUGACCUGCCUUUUAGACUGGAACAACUUACCGAAAGGUGAGCUAAUGCCGGAUGAGUUAUAUAAGUGCAUGUUUAUAUAGGAAAAGUUGGGGAGACCUGACGCUGAAAGAUGGACUCGCGUCCCAUUAGCUAGUUGGUAGGGUAAUGGCCUACCAAGGCGACGAUGGGUAGCCGGCCUGAGAGGGUGGCCGGCCACACUGGGACUGAGACACGGCCCAGACUCCUACGGGAGGCAGCAGUGGGGAAUUUUGCGCAAUGCUCGUAAGAGUGACGCAGCGACGCCGCGUGAAUGACGAAGGCCUUCGGGUCGUAAAGUUCUUUCGACAGGGAAGAAAAUGCCUAUAAGUAACUGUGUAUGUAUUGACGGUACCUGUAUAAGCAGCCCCGGCUAACUCCGUGCCAGCAGCCGCGGUAAUACGGAGGGGGCGAGCGUUGUUCGGAGUGACUGGGCGUAAAGAGCACGUAGGCGGUGUUGUAAGUCAUUAGUCAAAGACUAGAGCUCAACUUUAGUAAGGCUAGUGAUACUAUAAUACUAGAGUAUCAGAGAGGAUUGCAGAAUUCCUGGUGUAGCGGUGAAAUGCGUAGAUAUCAGGAGGAAUACCGUUAGCGAAGGCGGCAAUCUGGCUGGAAACUGACGCUGAGGUGCGAAAGCGUGGGUAGCAAACAGGAUU